GACGAACGCUGGCGGCGUGCCUAAUACAUGCAAGUCGAGCGCAGGAAACUGACGGAACUCUUCGGAGGGAAGGCAGUGGAAUGAGCGGCGGACGGGUGAGUAACACGUAAGGAACCUGCCUCAAGGAUUGGGAUAACUCCGAGAAAUCGGAGCUAAUACCGGAUAGUUCAACGGACCGCAUGGUCCGCUGAUGAAAGGCGCUUCGGCGUCACCUUGAGAUGGCCUUGCGGUGCAUUAGCUAGUUGGUGGGGUAACGGCCCACCAAGGCGACGAUGCAUAGCCGACCUGAGAGGGUGAUCGGCCACACUGGGACUGAGACACGGCCCAGACUCCUACGGGAGGCAGCAGUAGGGAAUCUUCCACAAUGGACGAAAGUCUGAUGGAGCAACGCCGCAUGAGUGAUGAAGGUUUUCGGAUCGUAAAACUCUGUUGUAAGGGAAGAACACGUACGAGAGGAAAUGCUCGUACCUUGACGGUACCUUACGAGAAAGCCACGGCUAACUACGUGCCAGCCGCCGCAGUAA
RNAcentral lists this ribosomal RNA (524 nucleotides) under uncultured bacterium. RNAcentral's name for it is "partial 16S ribosomal RNA". It matches the Rfam family "Bacterial small subunit ribosomal RNA", at positions 28 to 523 of the family's 1533-position model. The record is from RNAcentral.